AGUGAACGCUGGCGGUAGGCCUAACACAUGCAAGUCGAACGGCAGCACAGGAGAGCUUGCUCUCUGGGUGGCGAGUGGCGGACGGGUGAGGAAUACAUCGGAAUCUACUCUGUCGUGGGGGAUAACGUAGGGAAACUUACGCUAAUACCGCAUGCGACCUACGGGUGAAAGCAGGAGAUCUUCGGACCUUGCGCGAUUGAAUGAGCCGAUGUCGGAUUAGCUAGUUGGCGGGGUAAAGGCCCACCAAGGCGACGAUCCGUAGCUGGUCUGAGAGGAUGAUCAGCCACACUGGAACUGAGACACGGUCCAGACUCCUACGGGAGGCAGCAGUGGGGAAUAUUGGACAAUGGGCGCAAGCCUGAUCCAGCCAUACCGCGUGGGUGAAGAAGGCCUUCGGGUUGUAAAGCCCUUUUGUUGGGAAAGAAAUCCAGCUGGCUAAUACCCGGUUGGGAUGACGGUACCCAAAGAAUAAGCACCGGCUAACUUCGUGCCAGCCGCCGCCGUAA
Molecule: ribosomal RNA, 506 nt
Filed under: uncultured bacterium
Lineage: Bacteria
Description: partial 16S ribosomal RNA
Rfam family: Bacterial small subunit ribosomal RNA
Source: RNAcentral